This 497-nucleotide ribosomal RNA is filed under the name uncultured bacterium. RNAcentral's name for it is "partial 16S ribosomal RNA". It matches the Rfam family "Bacterial small subunit ribosomal RNA", at positions 28 to 507 of the family's 1533-position model. The record is from RNAcentral.
GAUGAACGCUGGCGGCGUGCCUAAUACAUGCAAGUCGAGCGAACAGACGAGGAGCUUGCUCCUCUGACGUUAGCGGCGGACGGGUGAGUAACACGUGGAUAACCUACCUAUAAGACUGGGAUAACUUCGGGAAACCGGAGCUAAUACCGGAUAAUAUAUUGAACCGCAUGGUUCAAUAGUGAAAGACGGUUUUGCUGUCACUUAUAGAUGGAUCCGCGCCGCAUUAGCUAGUUGGUAAGUUAACGGCUUACCAAGGCAACGAUGCGUAGCCGACCUGAGAGGGUGAUCGGCCACACUGGAACUGAGACACGGUCCAGACUCCUACGGGAGGCAGCAGUAGGGAAUCUUCCGCAAUGGGCGAAAGCCUGACGGAGCGACGCCGCGUGAGUGAUGAAGGUCUUCGGAUCGUAAAACUCUGUUAUUAGGGAAGAACAAAUGUGUAAGUAACUAUGCACGUCUUGACGGUACCUAAUCAGAAAGCCACGGCUAACUACGUG